Molecule: ribosomal RNA, 253 nt
Filed under: uncultured bacterium
Lineage: Bacteria
Description: partial 16S ribosomal RNA
Rfam family: Bacterial small subunit ribosomal RNA
Source: RNAcentral
UACGUAGGGGGCUAGCGUUGUCCGGAAUCAUUGGGCGUAAAGAGCGUGUAGGCGGCCCGGUAAGUCCGCUGUAAAAGUCAAAGGCUCAACCUUUGAAUGUCAGUGGAUACUGCCGGGCUAGAGUCCGGAAGAGGCGAGUGGAACUCCUGGUGUAGCGGUGGAAUGCGCAGAUAUCAGGAAGAACACCGACGGCGAAGGCAGCUCGCUGGGACGGUACUGACGCUGAGACGCGAAAGCGUGGGGAGCGAACGGG